Astyanax mexicanus (Mexican tetra) is the source of this 979-nucleotide long non-coding RNA. RefSeq lists it as uncharacterized. The record is from RefSeq and is a predicted model, not a curated record. Lineage: Eukaryota; Metazoa; Chordata; Actinopteri; Characiformes; Acestrorhamphidae. The transcript is spliced from 2 exons.
CACACACACACACACACACACACACACACACACACACACGCACACACACCAGUAUAAACCUCACAGAGGGAAAGUGAGGGACAGUGUGGAGAGAGCUGUUCAGACAGGACGGUGGUUAUGAUGCUGAUGGACAGUAGAGUGCUGGUGCCGCUGGCCCGGGAGCUGUUGUCUCUGAGGUUCAGGCCGGGGUUGCUGAGGGUUUACCUGGUGGGCUCAGUGUUGGCUCUGCUGGGGGUCGUGGUGGGCGUGGCCGACAUGCUGCGUUUGACCUUCUGCACUGAGGACGUCCAGACUGGACCAGAGGAACAGUACGAGGAGCUGCUCGCAACCCUGCGGGAGAUCACACACACACACUCACACACUCUCUCACACACACACACACUCACAGACACACACUCUCACACAGACACACACACUUACAGUGAACUGAGGCCCUCACUGCAUUUUGAGGAGGAGAGAGGGCCCUUAACCUACAGGAGACCCCUGGAACACACACUCCCCCCAUACACCCAUCGUAUGUAGCAUCUUCUCAGCUCACUGAGAACAUUUAUCAACAUUUUAAAAAGGUUCCAUUAACGUUAAACUGUAACAUUGCAGUGACGUUACCAUGAUGUUUAAAAAUGUUAAGUAAAAACACUCUAAGAACAUCCUGAAAAUGUAAGAACAUUAACCGUCAAGAUCAGAAAAUGUUCUAUUAAGCAAAAACUGUUCCAUGCAUUAAAGUGUAGCGAUGGAUGUGUGUAACUUAUUGAUCUACUGUUUCCCAGAAUGCACUGCAAAUCAAAUCAGCUGAUGUUCUGUGUUUAAUACUAGAUGGCAGCUGUGUGUGUGUUUGCUAUUCUUACAUUAUAUAUUUUUUGUAUCUAUAAUUGUAAGUGUAAAUUUUGUAAAUGUAUAUUCAUUAUUAUUUAGAUUUUAUUUGUAUUUUAUAAUUUUAAAACUGUUCACAUGAAAAAUAAACAACCUCAAACAACCUUAA